AUGGGGCCGUGGUGCCGGGCCGCGCAGAACCCUUGGGACCCCCGCGGCGCCCAGGUUGGGGCUCAGGGCCCGGAGAACGUUUUCCCGCGUGGCUAUGGCUUUGUCAGAAUCAGGAGCGGGAGAGGCGCCCACAGAUUCCUGAGGGCAGAACCGCCUGGUUCCCAGGCCGAAAGGAGCCGGCGAGGCGACCCCCGAUCCCGGGACGGAGCCGCGGGAACGGGGGAUUCUAGGCGUCCGCUCCCGCCCAGCAGGUUAAUUUUUCCCGCGACGCGCUUCGUAUCGCUUCUUACACCAAAUAUGUAUUCAUGUGUUCAGUCAUGUAAAAGCGCAUUUUGAAGGAGGAUCCAGAACUAUGAGCUCCCUUGAAAACUGCAAGCUUCGUAACUUUACGACUCUUAAAAAAAUGAAAUGUACAUUUUGAGUUUCCCAGAAGUGAUGAGCAGCAAAGCUUUUAAGAUGAAAGGGGCUCUGAACUGCCUUUGGGAGAUGCCGGCCAGGAUCCCGGAGAACCGAGGGGGUGGCGCCCGUGCCCAAGGCCUGGGGGGACCUGGGGCCCUGGCGCGGGACGCACAGGGAGGGCGGGGGCUGGGCCUGGCAGGAGCCCCCAGCCGAGUGGGAAGAGCCAGAUAAUAACCUAACGAUACUAACCUAACUAUACCGUCACCCAGAGAGGAGGGCAGCACCCCUCCCACAUGCCUCCCUCCCCCGGUGACCGCUAAACCUACCGGCCGCAAACAUCACGAAAUAGAAUUAAACACUGGCGCCUACUAAGGACCACUCCACCCAGUACAAACUAAAUUUGAGAGUUCAUCUUCACGCAAAUAAUAAGAAUGUUAAAAAUGUAUAUAUGCUCCUUUUCAAACAAGGCCUAAUAGGCCUGGCCUCCUGGGCUAGGGGGCUUAGAAAAUUGCAAAUGCAAGAUGGCAUGGUGUGGCUCCGGGGUGCUGUCAAAAUAAGCACAUUGCAAGCACAAACUGAUGAAAGUCAAAAACUAUCAAACAGAGGUUGCAAAACAAAGUCAGGAUCCAAACACAGCCCAUAUAAAGACGCUACAAAUAAAACACAGAAAACCAACUCAGAACACUUGGACAAAUAACACAAAUCCCCCUGGCUAAUGCGAAGGAACACAGGGCUUAUGCCCAGACAGCUGGCUUCCUCUCAGUCUAGCAACAUCCACUCCAUGAAUUGUCAUUAAACUG
RNAcentral lists this long non-coding RNA (1199 nucleotides) under Homo sapiens (human). RNAcentral's name for it is "HSALNT0131863". Lineage: Eukaryota; Metazoa; Chordata; Mammalia; Primates; Hominidae. The record is from RNAcentral.